GGGACCCGGUGGCGGUGCGU
This 20-nucleotide unclassified non-coding RNA is filed under the name Mus musculus (house mouse). Its description in RNAcentral is "oocyte_clustered_small_RNA8621". The record is from RNAcentral. Lineage: Eukaryota; Metazoa; Chordata; Mammalia; Rodentia; Muridae.